UGCAAGUCGAACGCGAAAGUCCCCUUCGGGGGAUUAGUAGAGUGGCGUCCGGGUGAGUAACACGUAGGUAAUCUACCUUCGGGUGGGGAAUAACGCAGGGAAACUUGCGCUAAUACCGCAUAAUGCAGCGGCACCACAUGGUGACAGUUGUUAAAGCGGGGGAUUUUCGAACCUCGCGCCUGAAGAGGAGCCUGCGGCAGAUUAGCUAGUUGGUAGGGUAACGGCUUACCAAGGCGACGAUCUGUAACCGGCCUGAGAGGGUGGUCGGUCACACUGACACUGACAUACGGGUCAGACUCCUACGGGAGGCAGCAGUCGGGAAUUUUGGGCAAUGGGCGAAAGCCUGACCCAGCAACGCCGCGUGAAGGAUGAAAUCCCUCGGGAUGUAAACUUCGCAAGAAUGGGAAGAAUAGACGAGUACUAAUACUGCUCGUGAUGACGGUACCAUUUGUAAGCUCCGGCUAACUCCGUGCCAGCAGCCGCGGUAAUACGGGGGGAGCAAGCGUUGUUCGGAUUUACUGGGCGUAAAGGGCGCGUAGGCGGUCAGCACAAGUCAGUUGUGAAAUCUCCGGGCUUAACUCGGAAAGGUCAACUGAUACUGUGCGACUAGAGUGCAGAAGGGGCAACUGGAAUUCUCGGUGUAGCGGUGAAAUGCGUAGAUUUCGAGAGGAACACCUGCGGCGAAGGCGGGUUGCUGGGCUGACACUGACGCUGAUGCGCGAAAGCCAGGGGAGCGAACGGGAUUAGAUACCCCGGUAGUCCUGGCCUUAAACGAUGGAUGCUUGGUGUCUGGAGUUUUAUAGUCUCC
Molecule: ribosomal RNA, 808 nt
Filed under: uncultured Bacillota bacterium
Lineage: Bacteria; Bacillati; Bacillota
Description: bacterial SSU rRNA
Rfam family: Bacterial small subunit ribosomal RNA
Source: RNAcentral